UUUGCGAAUCAUUAUGUGAAUGAUAGAUAAAAUGGUGUGAAGGAAGUAUAAUUUGUAUGUUAAUUGUGAUUAUUAUUAUUGUGUGUAUUUUAUAGUAUAAUGAGUUUCAAAUUGAAUUCAGUACGAGCCGGCUCUAUGAGUCCACCAAGAGUCGGCAGAAGCUCUGAUCUGGACAAUAAUAAUCGUAAAAUGACCACCAUGCAUGAUUUACAAAUUCUGAUUAAAGGAAAGGAUGAAAAAAUUAUGGAAUUACAAAAACAACUGUCCGAAAAGGACGAACACCUUCAAGAACUUCGCAGUCAGUUGGAUAAAUAUCAAAGUGUAUUUGGUCAAACUUUUAAGCAAGUAACAAAAGGACCAAGAAAGCAAAGGGCACAGGGAAUAUCAGCUGAACCUCAAAUGGUACAAAAUCUAGUCAACCAAGUUUUCAAGAAGCACUCAAAAUGUACAAGGUAGGUUACGAGACUUAAUAUUAAUAAGACACAGUUACGUCACCGCAAAUUGUGAUCCAUCUUCUUAGUAUUCAUUUAUUUAAAACAGAGAAUUGUCCCUUGUUCAUUGUUUAAAUUAUUAAAUUGUUUAUUAUUGUUUAAAUGAUUACUAAACAACGUAACUCGUAAUGAUUAACCAGUCACCCUCUUCAAAUUGUAUCGACAGGCUAUGUGUAAACAACGGAAAAUUACUCUUUUCUUUCCUACCACCUCUUAACGUAUAAACACAUAGUUUGUUAAUUCGUACAUAAAUGAAGUGUAUAGAAAAAACCACUUUCGUGUAUUUACACUUGUCAAGUAUAAGAUACAGAUUCAGCAGACACUUAAUUUAGCUAGUGGUUGUAAUGCCUUGAAUUAAGGUAAAGCAGGAUUCGUCUGAGAAAAGUGUAAACAUUAUAAAGGCAGAAUGAACUGGUAUGGAUACAAAACUUAGACGAUAUACAUGUUAAAUGUGUCAAAGCGAAGCCUGGNNNNNNNNNNNNNNNNNNNNNNNNNNNNNNNNNNNNNNNNNNNNNNNNNNNNNNNNNNNNNNNNNNNNNNNNNNNNNNNNNNNNNNNNNNNNNNNNNNNNNNNNNNNNNNNNNNNNNNNNNNNNNNNNNNNNNNNNNNNNNNNNNNNNNNNNNNNNNNNNNNNNNNNNNNNNNNNNNNNNNNNNNNNNNNNNNNNNNNNNNNNNNNNNNNNNNNNNNNNNNNNNNNNNNNNNNNNNNNNNNNNNNNNNNNNNNNNNNNNNNNNNNNNNNNNNNNNNNNNNNNNNNNNNNNNNNNNNNNNNNNNNNNNNNNNNNNNNNNNNNNNNNNNNNNNNNNNNNNNNNNNNNNNNNNNNNNNNNNNNNNNNNNNNNNNNNNNNNNNNNNNNNNNNNNNNNNNNNNNNNNNNNNNNNNNNNNNNNNNNNNNNNNNNNNNNNNNNNNNNNNNNNNNNNNNNNNNNNNNNNNNNNNNNNNNNNNNNNNNNNNNNNNNNNNNNNNNNNNNNNNNNNNNNNNNNNNNNNNNNNNNNNNNNNNNNNNNNNNNNNNNNNNNNNNNNNNNNNNNNNNNNNNNNNNNNNNNNNNNNNNNNNNNNNNNNNNNNNNNNNNNNNNNNNNNNNNNNNNNNNNNNNNNNNNNNNNNNNNNNNNNNNNNNNNNNNNNNNNNNNNNNNNNNNNNNNNNNNNNNNNNNNNNNNNNNNNNNNNNNNNNNNNNNNNNNNNNNNNNNNNNNNNNNNNNNNNNNNNNNNNNNNNNNNNNNNNNNNNNNNNNNNNNNNNNNNNNNNNNNNNNNNNNNNNNNNNNNNNNNNNNNNNNNNNNNNNNNNNNNNNNNNNNNNNNNNNNNNNNNNNNNNNNNNNNNNNNNNNNNNNNNNNNNNNNNNNNNNNNNNNNNNNNNNNNNNNNNNNNNNNNNNNNNNNNNNNNNNNNNNNNNNNNNNNNNNNNNNNNNNNNNNNNNNNNNNNNNNNNNNNNNNNNNNNNNNNNNNNNNNNNNNNNNNNNNNNNNNNNNAAGAUUAAUAUAACUAAGAAGCAUUUAAAGUUUUAAGCCAUAAUCAAGAAUCGUUUUUGAGAUACGGUGCGACAUGUGAAAAAAACACACCCCUGUUUUAGUUACAAAGUGCCAUAACUCAAAAAGUUGUAAUCUUAUUUUCACAAAAAAGUAUACAGAUCAUUUGACCAUCAUAAGAAACAACUAUGUUAAGUUUCAUGAAAUUUGGAUAAGUCGUUCUCAAGUUACGGUGCGACAUGUUUACACCGGACAGACGGACAGACGGACGGACGGACGGACGGACACUGGACAUUUGUAUACCAUAAUACGUCCCGUCAAAAUUGACGGACGUAUAAAAAUAUACACAAAGACAGGUUAGACAAAAGGUCUUUCUACUUCCAUUGGUAAUUAUAAAUUAAAAAAGGGGCCUUCCGAAGAUGAUAAGAAACAGUGAUCCCCAUUUCCAUUCUCAAUUUUAUAUUAGAAACAAGGUCUCAUAAAUAUUAAAACAUAUGUUUAAAAUAUAUCUUCAUAAAAAUAUGAGCACUAAACACUGGUUUACACUAUAAUAAAAAAAUGUUUGCAAAUUGUUAAAACAUUUUCGGAUUUAUCAAAGCACUAUAAAAAAUGGUAACUCCUUAAAAGUCAUAAAACCACAAUAAUAACUGCUGUUAAUCAAAGUAUUUAUAAAAACUAAAAGUCUGUUCUGUUACAAAACCUAUAGGCAAAGGUCUUACUAUAAUAUCAGCGGGAAAUUUCGGUUCUAGAGGUGCAUUCCGUAUUUAAUCUGUUUUUUUUUUUCUCCUAUCUCCUGACGACAGCUGGUGUGUCCGUAGAUAUUGUUUAAAUUUUCUAUAUUUUCACUUUUUAAUUAGUUUACCUGCACAAUGGCGCAGAAGCAAUAUUUAUUUUUUGGCGCAAAUGAAAAACUACAACUUUUAAGAAUUGGCGCAAAAGCAAUGCGUACUUAAAUAUCAAUCAAAUUUGACCGUGCCCACAAAACGAUUGUUCAAAUUACGAAUAGUUUCAGCUUAAAAUCCAUGGCACUCUAAAAUGUAGAUUUUUUUAAAUCACAUAAAUUCCAUAUCGAUAUACGUAUAUUUGGAUCUAUGCAAUAUGUUUAUCUGGACAUCAGCAUGCUAGCUUAGUUCCGUCAUUUCAAUAACAUGGAUGGCAAUAUGUUUGAUUGAUCUAACCAUACGUUAACCAGUGUCCUUUGAAUACAGUGAUCAUGCAUGAUGUGAACAUUUUUUUCUAUAGACAUAGGUAGAUUUGAUUAAUCCAAAUAAUAUAGGUAUAAAGCAUACCGGUGUCCAUGCAAUUCAUAAUGCAAAACAACAAUAUAUAGAAAUAAAUUAUGUUUUUUUUUUUAUGAAAUGUAUGUGCUUAUGCAACAUUAUCAAACUGCUGUAAUGCAUUAGUUAUAAACUUUGAAAGAACCGAUGACUUUUCAUUCGUUUUUAAACUCAAAUGUACUUAAAUAGCACAUUUUAAACCGUAAGAAAUUGGUUUAUCUCUCGAAAAAACCUGAACUGUUCUCGAAAAAACCCGAACUGCUCUCGAAAAAACUUGGACAGAUGGAAAUGAAUAUACCCUUAAAAUUGCCUUUUAAUUACAAUAACUAAAACUUUUGUUAUAGCAUAUGUAAAUGUAAGGAUAUAAAGACAUCAUGUGUGCAUGCUCUUUGAAAUUUGCAUUGGUAUGUGUGUAUAGAAAUUGCUUUUUUCUAUAUUUUGGCAUAAAAGCAUUAUUAGGCCAAAUCAAACUUUUUUAACUGCAAAGUAUGUAUGGUUGGCAACAUCCUUUCAUCACAAAUACUUACUUAACUUGUUUGAUCUUGUAAAUUUAGUUUAAGCAUUUAUUUUACGUGUUAACAGGAAAACAUGUCUGUUUGUUUACAUUUUUAGUCAUAAUCUCUCGAAAAAAACUGGACGCUCUCGAAAAAAACCCGAUCAAAUCACUCGAAAAAACACGAUCUCAACCGGACACUAUACCUACGGUGGUAAUACUGAUACGUAUUAUUACAUAUCAGUAAAAAAAAUCUACAAACAGUAUGUUAAUAAAGAGUUAUGAAGUAAAAUGUACAUGGGACAAAAUCACAAAAAAUACAUAGAAUAAUACAAAUUAUCAAUGAACAGGUGUUAUAUGUCAGUUUGGUAUGGUCAAGACGUUUGGUAAAGAUAACAUCCUUUUAAGAGAGUUAUCUCGCCUUAACCAGUUAUGGGGUUUUUCGUAUUGCGGAUUGCAUUCCGUAUUUGUAUGAUAUGUUAGUUGAUUUGUUCUCUUGAUUUAUUGUUACCAUUCCAUGUAGAUGUGUUUUUUGAAGAAUAGAAUUUAUUAACUUGAAUAUUCGUUUAUUAUCUAUGCCAGAAAGGAGCAUUAAACAGGGCUUUACUUGACAGUCGAUGUAGAGUCUGCAACAAAAAACGAAUCAUAGUAUAUUUUUAGCAUUCUUUUAAACACAUACAGUAGACGACUUUAGUUUUAAUACCGAUUUUGCCGCAAAUACUAAUAUUCUCUUAGAAAUCAAAGACGGUUACUUCGAAGUCGAUAAUAGGGCUAUCUUAACUAGUUAUCGUAAGUGUAUACUAAGAUAGCCGUUAAAUUGUUAAGAUAACCCACGAGGGGAUUGCAGAUACUCUCUUAUCACCAUCGUAAUCUUCUUGUAAAGCGUUUUCUCUUAAAUGAAACUUAAGAUAGGUUUUCAUGAUACAGGGGCCCGCGGUAACAAGAAACUUCUCUUAAAGUCUUCGUAAGUCAUAGUUUACGAUUACACAAAGAAUGCAUUAAGGGUCCUUUUAAGAGUGUAUCAAAAAGCAUUCUAUUUUCGUUCUUUUCUUUCCCAUAACUUCGUUUGAUAAAACCCUUAAAACAUUCUUAGUCUAAGCGCACUUAUUAAUUUUCGGACUUAUCCGACAACGUUUUCUUUGAAAUUCUUUGAUUUACAUGUUAGUUUGUCCCGAAAAAAUCUAGUGAAAUGUUUGUAUCGUAGGGCUAUCAUGACUAGCAGUGACACGGACAGUGAAUUAAAUGUAUGCAAUUACUUUUGCAAAUAAUCUUACAUGUUUUCAAUUUGUUUCUUAAUCCGUUAUAAAUCAAGAGGACUUGAGCGGCCAAGCAAUACACGUACAGUUUCAUUCCCUGACAUUCCUCAUGUGUAAAAUAAAGGUCAUUUUCAUUCUAAGAUAGGUUGAUGUGUGGGUAGAACCGCACUUACAUUAAAAUGUUUUUUCACAAGACGACGGGCGUAUCAUGCGCUCAUGGCGCAGCUGUUUAUUUAAAUAUUGAUCCAGUCGAAAUGCUAUCUAAAACACUUACCACUCAUUCAAAAAAGAAGGGUCUGACUUGUUUUUAUCAUACUGCUUUUAUUACAUUAUAGAUGUCUGUUUCCGUUGAUUCCGUUAAAUACCAAUUCCUCAGAGCAAUUGGUACUUUGCGGAACGGAACGGAACGGAAAAAUAAAUUAAAAAGUUUAAAUCAGAUUCAACUUGAUCACUGUCUCUAAUCAUCGUCGGAACGGGCUGUUGAAGGCCUCUUUUUUAAAAUAUAAUUACCGAUGGAAGGAGAAAGACUUUUUGUCUAAGCUGCCUUUGUUUUAAAUUCUUAAUUAUUUAUCAGGUCGGGAAUGCUAUCUAAAACACUUAUUUCUCGUGCAAAAAGGGGUGUCAGACACAUUUUUUUUUAUCAUACUGCUUUUAUUACAUUAUAGAUGUCUGUUUCUGUUCGAUUCCGUUAAAUACCAAUUCCUCACAGCAAUUGGUACUUUGCGGAACGGAACGGAACGGAAAAAUAAAUUAAAAAGUUUAAAUCAGAUUCAACUUGAUCACUGUCUCUAAUCAUCGUCGGAACGGGCUGUUGAAGGCCUCUUUUUUAAAAUAUAAUUACCGAUGGAAGGAGAAAGACUUUUUGUGUAACCUGCCUUUGUGUUAAAUUUUUUUAUUAUUGAUCAAGUCGAAAAUGCUAUCUAAAACACAUACCACUCAUGCAAAAAGAGGUGUCAGACAAUUUUUGUUAUCAUACUGCUUUAAUUACAUUAAAGAUGUCUGUUUCCGUUUUUUUCCGUUAAAUACCAAUUCCUCAGAGCAAUUGGUACUUUGCGAACGGAACGGAACGGAACGGAAAAAUAAAUUAAAAAGUUUAAAUCAGAUUCAACUUGAUCACUGUCUCUAAUCAUCGUCGGAACGGGCUGUUGAAGGCCUCUUUUUUUAAAAUAUAAUUACCGAUGGAAGGAGAAAGACUUUUUGUGUAACCUGCCUUUGUGUUAAAUUUUUUUAUUAUUGAUCAAGUCGAAAAUGCUAUCUAAAACACAUACCACUCAUGCAAAAAGAGGUGUCAGACAAUUUUUGUUAUCAUACUGCUUUAAUUACAUUAAAGAUGUCUGUUUCCGUUUUUUCCGUUAAAUACCAAUUCCUCAGAGCAAUUGGUAUUUUGCGGAACGGAACGGAACGGAAAAAUAAAUUAAAAAGUUUACAUCAGAUUCAACUGGAUCACUGUCUCUAAUCAUCGUCGGAACGGGCUGUUGAAGGCCUCCUUUUAAAAAUAUAAUUACCGAUGGAAGGAGAAAGACUUUUUGUGUAACCUGCCUUUGUGUUAAAUUUUUUAUUAUUGAUCAAGUCGAAAAUGCUAUCUAAAACACAUACCACUCAUGCAAAAAGAGGUGUCAGACAAUUUUUGUUAUCAUACUGCUUUUAAUUACAUUAAAGAUGUCUGUUUCCGUUUUUUCCGUUAAAUACCAAUUCCUCAGAGCAAUUGGUACUUUGCGGAACGGAACGGAACGGAAAAAUAAAUUAAAAAGUUUACAUCAGAUUCAACUGGAUCACUAUCUCUAAUCAUCGUCGGAACGGGCUGUUGAAGGCCCCUUUUUUAAAAUAUAAUUACCGAUGGAAGGAGAAAGACUUUUUGUGUAACCUGCCUUUGUGUUAAAUUUUUUAUUAUUGAUCAAGUCGAAAAUGCCAUCUAAAACACAUACCACUCGUGCAAAAAGAGGUGUCAGACAAUUUUUUUUUAUCAUACUGCUUUAAUUACAUUAAAGAUGUCUGUUUCCGCUUUUUCCGUUAAAUACCAAUUCCUCAGAGCAAUUGGUACUUUGCGGAACGGAACGGAACGGAAAAAUAAAUUAAAAAGUUUAAAUCAGAUUCAACUUGAUCACUGUCUCUAAUCAAGGACGACGUGAGGUCAGUCUAGAUAUCAUAAUGCAUGACUUGCAAAUGCGUUAAUUUCAUGAUAAUUUAUCAGGACAAUCCGACAUAUUCAUCUACAGAAUAUUUCCCGAUGUUAUACAUUAUUACACAUUUCACCUGUGAAGAUGAGAUUAAGUAUACAUUUGUGUUAUUUGUAUAUGGAAAACCGUAAAACACCAAAAUUUUAAAGUUUGUUUUGUUUUAAAGAUUUUUCGAAAUUUUGAUAAAUGCCCCCUUUGGAUACCUUAAAUGAAAUUCCGUUCCGUUCCGUUCCGUUCCGUAAAGUACCAAUAGCCGUGUAUACCAGCAUCUAGGGGUUUUAAAGAAUUGAUUUUAGAACAUGAGGGGUUUAGACUAUUAUAUAUAAAAAAAGAUGUGGUAUGACUGCAAAUGAGACAACUCACCAAAAGAAACCAAAUGAUACGGAAAGUAACAACUGUAGGUCACCGUAUGGUCUUCCACAAUGAAAAAAACCCAUACCUCAUAGUCAGCUAUAAAAGGCCCCGAAAUGACAAUGUAAAACAAUGAAAACGAGAAAACUAACGGCCUAAUUAUGUACAAAAAAAUGAACGAAAAACAAAUAUGUAAAAAGUAAACUUCACUAAAAUACUGAACUUAGAGGAAAAUCAAUUCGGAAAGUCCAUAAUCACAUGGCAAAAUCAAAUAAUAAAACACAUAAACAAACAACCACUGAAUCAUAGACUCCUGACUUGGGACAGGCCCAUACAUACAGAAUAUCAGUUUGCUGAAUUGGUUUCUUCUUUUAAAAAGUAAAAAAUCAUUUAAAAAGUGAAAUAACAAAAAUACCGACCUUCAAGGAAAGUUCAAAACGAAAAGGUUUUUUUUUUUAUUCAUAUGGCAAAAUCAAAAGCUCAAAUACAUCAAACACAUUAACCAAUGAAAUCCUAAUAAUGUUAAAGUUGAUGUCAUUCCUCUUUAAGUUUUAGAGUCGUCGCCGUGAUUUUCUUGACUUUGAUAAAUGAUCUACGUCAUAAAAUGAACAUGGAUAUAAUCGAAGCCAUAAUCCCGUCCUUUAUCAUAUUUUGACAUCACCUUUCACGUCAUUAAUUAAACAUAUAACCGAAUUCGUACUUACCAUAAGCAACACGACGCGUACUAGAUUUGUGGAGCAGGCCCCUUCUUACUUUGGUCCUUCCGGUGUUUUUUUGUGGGAAUUGUAUAUUAUAUUUAUAAUUAUAAUUUGAAACAGUCUAUUGUUAUAGUCUUUAUGCUUUUGACAAUGCAUUUAAUUUCAUGAUAUAUUCAUUGAACAAACAAUGCCCGCCUUCACCGUUUAUCUUUUAUGUGCAUACAAACAUUGAUUUUUUUUCUAUUUCAGGGUGACAGAAAAAGAAGAUGUUUUCUGAAUAAAACACUCACAAAAUAUAUGAAGUAUAUGACUUAUUCAUUUAAUCAUACAACUAAAAUAUGAUAUUUUAAGAAACAGCAAAAUAUAUACGUAUACUGUAUUUUACUAUUCUGAAAUGGUGCCUAUUUCCUUGAGACACUUGCCACUAUUGAAAACAUAUAUUAUAUUAAACUAUUGUCUCAUUUAAUUAGUGUAAGGUAAGAGAUAAAGUCCAAACAACAUGUUUGCAAAUACACAAUCUACUACUCAUGCAAAUGGAUUUUAAAAGUGUAACUUUUAACACGUAUUCAUCAUUUGAAACUUAAUAUAUACAUAUAGAAAGAUGUGGUAUGAUUUCCAAUGAGACAUAUCUAAGUUCAAAAGUAUCAAUUUAUAAAAGUAAACCAUUAUAGGUCAAGGUAGGGCUUUCAACAAAAUAGAUAAAAAGAAUCAUUUCGGGUUUGUGUAUAAAACAUUUUGCCAAACAUGUACUCUAAAUUGACAAUGAGGGUUGGUUGUAAGCAAACUUUUACGACAAAAGAGAUGAUUCCAGCUUCCCAAUUGUGAAGUCUCAAUUUCUAUGUAGAAAAAUUUCAGUAUAAAUCAUCCAGUUGAAACGAUAUUCCAGGGCCUGUAUUCCUAUAAUGAUUUCCUUGAUAGAGUGUUGGUGUUCACACGGAAGCUAUUAAAACAAGUAAAGACGUUGAUUCAUUUCUUCAUAAAUUUAACGGACGCCAUCACGAAUUGGUUCACCAUAAUGUUAUUAUUGGAUAUCCGUUUCACAGAUGAUAGCAGAUAUGUUCCAAAUGUCCAUUUCCCCCGAAUAUGACCUACCGAAUUAGACUUAUGACAGGGUGUGUACUAACAUGAACUACAUUUAGAGCGCCACAUAUAUUUCGAUUCUUAUACAUCCUUGGCUUUCAAAUAUUUGGCUUUGAGCGUUCCUGCUGUCAAAUGUAAAUCUAGAAAAACGCUUCAGACGUAUGCAAUUUAUAUAACGCGUUGUUUUCAUUUUUGAUAAGCACUUGGUCGAUAACACUGCUAGUGGAUUAUCUGUCCUUGAGGGUUUCGUCGGUUCAGUAGUCAUUACUUCGGUACUGACAUGAUUUUAAAAAAAAAUCCUUUUUAAAAUUGUCCGUUAAUAAAUUUUGAAAUUAUUCAGAAAUUAAGGUUUCAUCUCCAUCAGGCAAGGUUUCCCUCGCCUCGGUCACGGAUAGCUCGAACGGAUGCCUAACGGAUAACUUUUUUCAAUCCGUUCAUGUCCGUUAGACGUCCGUUCUUAUCCGUUAGAACUCCGUCCAUAUCCGUUGCAUGUCCGUUUAGUGUACGUUUUAUCCGUCGACGUCCGUUCUGUCCGGUGGAAAAUUUAGAGCAUGUUCAAAACUUUGAACGGACGUCCAACGGAUGAAAUGUCCGUUGAACGUCUGGUAAGCGUCCGUUUUAUACGGUACUCGUCAGUUUUGUUUUCCGUUUUGUAUCCGUUACGUGUCCAUUAUGCAUCUAUUGGAGGUCUGGAAGAUAAAUUCACCAACGGACUUCUACCGGACGUUUAACGGAUAAAACGGAUUUUGAACGAAUGAUAAACGGACUUCUACCGGACUUAUAACGGAUAAAACGGAUGAUGAACGGAUCUGAAAAGAUAAAUGCCAAUUGAAAAUUUCGCGUCAGAAAUGCAAAUCAUUGGCAUGUCAGAUUUCUUAAGGUUCAUGAAUUCUUAUUAUUCAUAAUCGAUCUUAGAGUAAGGGCACGUCUUCACAAUCAAGCAGCUCUUAUUCAGGCCAGACACUGCCCUUUGGAGGACAUUUUGAAGAACAAACCAAAACCAGUUACACAGAAACCUUUUGAAUAUUUUUGCGAUUUAAAUGUAUUAUUAUUGUCGUCUUUAAUUUUUCUGUAUAUCUUGUUCAUCCGUUUUAUCCGGCACACUUCCGUUAGAAGUCCGUUUUAUAGCGGUACCGGUACUCGUCCGUUGGAUGUACGUUCGACAUCCGUUCUGUCCGGUACGUUUAUGUUUCCCGUACGUUGCAUAUUCGGUGUGUGUCCGUUAUGCAUUCGUAACACGUCCGUUUUAUUCGGUCAGUACAUCAACGGACUUCCAACGGAUAACAAUUUUGUCAACGGACAACUUUUUUUUUUAUUCUUUAGGCGUCCGUUCGUGCAAUCCGGUAAGGUGUGACCGAGGCUUUAGAUUGAUUUGGUUAUUUUGUAAGUUCUUUUCCGUCAUAAAGCUCUCAUUUGUUUCGAUUCUUGUAAAUUUUCGGCUUUUUGUGUGUUUGAUGAAAAUCAAUAUAUAUUGACUUUUUACAAAGCUUUGAAUUUUGGAGUGCAUCGAUUUUUCUACCUCAGAAAUAGAUUACCUUAGUUGUAUUUUGCAAACCUUUUAGGAAUGUGUGGUACUCAGUGCUCUUCAAAUUUGCACUUUAUGAAAAAUUACGACUGCUGUGAUAAGCUGUGGAUUUUCAAAUAUAUUGGCCUCAAUCAUAAUGCAGAAAAUUUGGUACCGGUUAUGUUAAUAUGAUUUAGUUUCUUCUUGUAACUGAUUCCUCAUUUAUAAAUGUUUGCAAGUAACAACGCCAGCUUAAAUUGUAUGAUUGGCAGUAGAAAAAAGUCUUGUACAGUACACAUGGUACAUUUUAUGACGUCAAAAUUUCCAGCUUCUCAUAAAUGAUAACACUGGUUCGUGUGAAUUGAUUUCCACGCCAAAUUUAAACUUAAUGGUACAUGUAAUUGAUGCGAUGUUUCUUUUGAGUUGUUCCUCUUUCAACAUUUGAUUAUAGAUUGUUUCUUUAAAGUGCUUAACUAUUUUUAAAUAAAACAUCACUUUAUAGAUGUAACAAGAGCAUGUAAAUCGAAUGAUGUAGCAAUGAUUUUGAAAUGAUUUGCAUUCUUUAAACGGAGGAUUUCUUAUUCUUAUCACAAAUAUCUAUUUUCUCAAUUUCUGUUCUAUUUAUGUAUGUUCUUGAUACUUUACUGUUAGUGUAAGGUCGUCUUACAAAAACGCAAUCAAAGGUCAAUUGCAAAUCAAGAUAUCCAAAAUGAGCAUUAUGGUUUGUGACUUUUAAACACCGGUAUACUACUGUUGCCUUAAUUAUGUCCACAUAAAGUCGUUGAAUGAAUUUAGCCGCUUGGCUAAUUUGGAACCACAUUCAAAUUGCUGAUAAACUUGGAGCUCAAUCUGUAUUUUUGUCGUCAUAAAAGUAACAAUACGGAUACCUAUAGAUUCAAAAUAUUCAAUCAACAAUACUGAUUUAGAUACCCAACAACUACACGUUAUAUUCGAUAUUUUUUUGUUAUAUUUUGUAGAUGCCCAACAACUACACGUUAUAUUCGAUAAUGUUUUUUUUAUAUUUUGCACAAAGAGGUUAUCAUUCUCAUUAAAUCAAACAUUAAAAGUACCCGUUGCCUUUGUAGACCUAGAUAUAAUAAUGGUAUUGUUAAUUUUCUUUUCCUUGUUGGUUGUUUCCCAUUGGCAUCUACUGGUAUAUAGAGAAUGAAUUUUCAAAUUGUUCAAUAUGCACGUGUUUUAAUUUGCAGUGAGAUCAUAGAGUUCAACGAACGUAAUAUUUUGAGUACUAAUAUUAAAAAACUUUUGCAUCUGAAAUAAAUUUAUAUCAUAUAGAGUCAAAGAUGUUGCUGGAUUUUAUCAUAAAUAAAACUAUUUAUUAGUAAAAGUAUGAUUCAACCUGCAGGAAUUUUAUAAACGUUGGUAUUUUGCAUUUAGCUUUUAAUUGUGAAAUUAUUACUAAUAGCAAGUUUUGUUCUUCGAGACUGUUUGAAUAUCCUGACCUCUUAGUAGAUGUUAUGAUAAUUGUUCUGCAGUCCUAUGCGUGGUCGACAGAUCCUUCUGCCCGAUACGAUUGCCCUUUCAGAAUCAACUUCAUACCUUUAUUUACUGCAUAGUCAGUAUCUGCUGGAUAUCAAAAAUAAAAACAACACUUUAUAAAUUCACGCGUCCGACGUGAUCCGACGUGAUCUUCUGGAUUUACCUUUAAACGGAACGCUCAAAAAUGAAUAUUUGAAACACAAGGAUUCAUCAAAACCAAAAUAGUUGAAGAGCUAGCGCUAUUAGUUGGAAUAUAAGUUGCUAAUUAGAGCCUUUGAGUAACUCUUUUUGUUUUCGUAUGAUGGUAGAUUGAACCGAUGUUUAUGUUGCUAUCAUUCGCUGAUACAAUACGAACACCAUGUUGAAAGUCUGUAAUGGUGGCGAUUCACUAUAACUUUUGAUCCAUUUGUAUGUUAGAAUCCCACGUUGUAUAAACCAUUUCUUGAUACCGUCGUAGCCUUUCUUGACGCGAAGUCCUGUUUUCACGAAAGUUGUGCAGUCCGAAAACGUCUUGGUUGUGAAAAGUAGCUGCAUGUGUGAUCUUUUUUUGUAUUAACUUGACAUUUUAUCUUCAUGUCGUGGAUCUUCUAUUCAUCUGUUUUAAAAAGUGGAACUAUAUUGAUGAGGGAUACGGAGUACGACUGAUGCCAAAUAAGGGUAUGCCUGAUGCCGAAUAGAUGGUACAACGGAUGACGUUCGACUAAAACAAACUAAAUGGUUGAUGAAUAUGUUGUUGAUAAGAUGAUUUCCUUUAAGGAAUUGAUGGUGCUGACUGUACAGCCUACCUACCUUGUGUUUGGAGGAGGUGAUGUUUCAAGUCCAUGGAAUAACAGCGUUAUUCAUUGAGGAUGACCCGGAUGUUUCGCAAUCGACAGCAAUUGAUUUGUGAUUGUUAAAUAUUGUUUCUUGAAAAUCGAGUCACAAACAUUUCAUGUCCAGUUCGAAAAUAAAUUGACAAUGGAUAGAGAUUAUAGGUUUGUACCGACAUGAUUCCACAAGGACGAAGAAUGAUCAACCACUGGGAUUAAAAAUAUGUUGGAUAGAGACAUACAUUUUAAAUUGAACUGGUCACAUAAGGACCAUUUAGACAGUAUUUUUCAAAGGAUCUAUCUCAACAGGAUGUAUAGAAUUUAACGUUUCCAUUUCGAUCAUACAUAAAAACAACUUAUACUGGAACCGCUACACAAAAAUUCCAAUCUUUCUGUUGGUUAGAAAAAAACAUAAAUUCAGGAAGAAGGAUUUUGUCGAAAGGGGAUAUACACCUGGAUGGAAUAAAGAAGUGUUCAGUGUUCAGUGUCCCAAUAUUGAACAAUUAAACACAGAUUAGGUGACGACGGCCUGAUGUUCUUUUAGUUUUAUCGAUAUCAUAGUUAAUUUUGAUAAAAAUAAACUAGAGAUAAAAUAGUUGUUUUCUGUUCAAGUAAAUAGAGAAUAUCAAACCCGUAUCAACCUGAGACACCAUUAAUAUAGUCACAAGAGCUCUGCUCGAUAUCAUCGCGGAUGGCGGAUACAGCACGAUUGUCAGUGUUUGUAUGACACAUACAAUUUAUUGCUCUUCAACUUUGUACUUGUUUGGCUUUAUAAAUAUUUUGAUAUGAGCGUCACUGAUGAGUCUUAUGUAGACGAAACGCGCGUCUGGCGUACUAAAUUAUAAUCCUGGUACCUUUGAUAACUAUUAUUUACAUACUAAAAGUAUUCAUUAUAAUAUAUGAUAAUAAUCAUCCGAGUAUAAACAUAUAAGUUGACUAGUCUUCAAAAACGUAUUUCGACCAUUCAAAACAAAAUACUUCCUAAAAUUAACAGCUGUAGAUAAAUGAAUGAAAACCACCAUAGUUUCUUUCUGAACCAAUAUUAUUUGAUCUUUAUACAGAAAAGAUCAUAUAAAGAAAUCAUCAAUGAGACAACAAUUCAACAACAAAAUAAAAGCGAAAUAACGGUUAACAAAGUUUUUACUGUCUUUAGUGGAAUAAAAUUUUCUCGUUGCUUGUGCGUUGUCUCGUUGUGCGUUGCUCACUGUUUGUCGAUUAAAACUAGUACUAUUCUCUCUUUGAAAUAGUAGCUUUAUAUUUUCUUUAUGAUUUUGACAUAAUCCAGUGGAUAAUAAGUCGCACUAGUGCAGGAAAGUUAACUCAAAAUCGAGUUUAAAGCUGCCCUUAUCCAAAUUAUGAAUUUUAUUUCCUUUAUUGAAUGCAACAAUUGAAAGCAAAAGAGCAAUGCAUAACCUUUAUUGUUUAAUUUAUAAUACAUCAUAUUUUCUUAUUCUAUUCUCUAAGCAUUUAUUUGUAAGAAUCCGAUGCCCUUUUUAAAAACUAAACAUUUUGAAAGGAUUUUAAUAAUAAGCCAAAAAUGUCAAUGUAACUGAAAAAAGUAUAACAAAGGGAAUUUUUAAAAGGGAAAGUUCAUAAAAAAAACUGACAAAAUCUUAAUACUAUCAAUCAACGGAACAAGUGAAAUAUAUAUACUGCCAUAUUUCUGACUAUAUAUAAAUCUUUAUUCACACAAACCAAAUUACAAAAGUAUUAUACAUAUUUCAAAAAAAUUGCAUAAAUUGAGAUAGCCAUUUUUCGAAGAAAACGGUGGAUUAAACUUGAUUUUAUAUCUAGCUAAACCUCCCACUUUAAACCAUGAAUCGAUUCCUUAUAGGAGUUAUUGCCCUAUAACGUAAAUUUUAAACCUGAUACCUUUUGUUAGCUAUUAUUCGUUUGUUUCUCUGUCCUACAUUUUCUCCAAUUUAUUUGUAUUGUAACCCUUUCAUGUAAUGUUGUCAUGUUAAUGUUAACAUAUAUUUACAUUAAAGCGGGAGGUUUGGCAUGCCACAAAACCAGGCUCAACCCACCAUUUUUUCUUAAAAUGUCCUGUACCAAGUCAGGAACAUGGCUAUAACAAUGUAGUUCGUUUCUGUGUGUGUGUUACAUUUUAAUGUUGUGUUUCUGUUGUGUCGUAGUUCUCUUAUAUUUCAUGCGUUUCCCUCAGUUUUAGUUUGUGACACGAAUUUGUUUUUUUUCUCAAUCGAUUUAUUAAUUUCGAACAGCGGUAUACUACUGUUGCCUUUAUUUAACAAAUUGUACAUAUUAUUUUGAUAACUAUAAUCACUUUGUCACAAACAUGUUCAACUUGUUCAUAUGACAAUAAAGAUUGUUAUAAUAGAUAGACGGCAGUGGCGGAACACCUUUUUUUUUGGACAGAAAGAGCCAUAUCUCUUGAACGUAAAAGACGCCCUUGUAGAUUUCGAAAAAGAGCAGGCUAAUGCCUCUACAAGGCAGCACUCGCACCCGCAAAGUGGAAAGGGAUUAACAUAAGUUGCAAAACUUGUUUCCCAAUCCACUAUAAAUAAUAUAUGGUUGGAAUGCCCCAUUAUCCUGGAAUUGAACCCCCUCUAAAAAGGGCUGGAUCCAACACUGGACAGCAGUAAUUUAACAAGUCAGAAAAAAAAGACGAAAGUUUUAUUGUUCUUAAAUGAAGGGUAUUUACUAGUAAUAGUUUUUGCGAUUUUGCCUAAUGUCUUGAAAACUAUGAUAGAGGUCGAAAGCUGCAAUAGAAGAAAGCAUUAGAAGUACAAGAUUUACAAAAUAAUAUUUAUGAUCUUUUAAACAACGCAAUAAUUGUAGUUUAAUAUCUCAGAAACUGUUACAGUUGUAAAUCUUAUUCUGAAAAAUCCGAAAAAUGCACGGAGAGCCAACGAUUCUUUAUAUGAGUUAUUGCCUUUUGAUGGUGAUUUUGAUGACCUUGUAGUGCUUAUUGAAAACAGGACGGAUAAACAAGCAAAUAAAGAACAACAAAUCAUAUUGUAUUUGUAAUUAUUAGUAUUCAAAUGACUGUUUAGAGGAGAUAUAUUUGCUUUGAAUAUUUUGUGAAUAUAUGUUUACGAUAAUACAAAAUAGUCAAUAUACACGGAUGUGCGAUUUAAAACUUGACAUGUUUUGUUAAAAAAUAGGAGAAAGAUACCAAAGGGACAUUCAAACUCACAAGUCGAAAAUAAACUAACAACGUCAUGGCUAAUAAAGGGCUGCGCUUUAGCGCAUAUACGCCCGUUGCUCUUUUAACUUGUCUUUUAUGCUUUAAAUGAAUUUAUAUGAUCAACUAGAAAUAUAUAUACAAAUCAAAAGGGAUGUUACAUUAAUAUAUUCACCAAAGUUUCAUAAAAUCCCCCUUUUUUAAGUAUAAAAAUUCAUUACUUAAGAAAACGUAAAAUCUAAAAUUUAUAAAAAUGGAAAGGGAGCUUAUGUCAAUAGAUAUAAACAAUUUAUCAAAGUUGCAUAAAAUUUUGUGAAAGUGUUAGUUAUUGUCCCAAAAUUGGAAAAUCCCCCUUUUUUAAGCAUAAAAAUUCAUAACACGGAAAUGUAAAAUCUGAAAUUUAUAAAAAUUGAAAGGGAGCUUACAUCAAUAGAUAUAAACAAUUCACCAAAGUUUCAUGGACAUUGGUGAAAGCCUUUUUGAGUUAUUGUCCGAAGUGUUGAAAAUCCCCCUUUUUUUAUGAAUAAAGCCCCAUAAAUCCAAAACUUAAAAUCUGAAAUUUAUAAAAAUUGAAAGGGAGCUUACAUCAAUAGAUAUAAACAAUUCACCAAAGUUUCAUGGACAUUGGUGAAAGCCUUUUUGAGUUAUUGUCCGAAGUGUUGAAAAUCCCCCUUUUUUUAUGAAUAAAGCCCCAUAAAUCCAAAACUUAAAAUCUGAAAUUUAUAAAAAUUGAAAGGGAGCUUACAUCAAUAGAUAUAAACAAUUCACCAAAGUUUCAUGGACAUUGGUGAAAGCCUUUUGAGUUAUUGUCCGAAGUGUUGAAAAUCCCCCUUUUUUUAUGAAUAAAGCCCCAUAAAUCCAAAACUUAAAAUCUGAAAUUUAUAAAAAUUGAAAGGGAGCUUACAUCAAUAGAUAUAAACAAUUCACCAAAGUUUCAUGGACAUUGGUGAAAGCCUUUUUGAGUUAUUGUCCGAAGUGUUGAAAAUCCCCCUUUUUUUAUGAAUAAAGCCCCAUAAAUCCAAAACUUAAAAUCUGAAAUUUAUAAAAAUUGAAAGGGAGCUUACAUCAAUAGAUAUAAACAAUUCACCAAAGUUUCAUGGACAUUGGUGAAAGCCUUUUUGAGUUAUUGUCCGAAGUGUUGAAAAUCCCCCUUUUUUUAUGAAUAAAGCCCCAUAAAUCCAAAACUUAAAAUCUGAAAUUAAAAAAAAACGAAAGGGAGCUUACGUCAAUAGAUAUAAACAAUUCACCAAAGUUUCAUGGAAAUUGGUGAAAGUGUUUUUGAGUUAUUGUCCGAAGUGUGGACGACGGACGGACGGACGGACGGACAACGGUAUACCAUAAUAAAAAGACGACGGGCGUAUAAAAAGGACAUCAACAGACAAAAAAUAGUACACAAACACAACAUAGCAAACUAAAUACUGAACAACUUCUUGAACCCCACUAAAAACUGGGGGUGAUCUCAGGUGCUCCGGAAGGGUAAGCAGGUCCUGUUCCACAUGUGGCAUCCUUCGUGUUGCUUAUAUUAGUACAAACUCGACAAGAAAUCUAAUUCGGUAGGUCAUUUUCAGCAAAUUAAAUGGGCACGUGAUUUGUGACAUCAGGAACAUAUCCGGGAUACAAUCCCGACUAUGUAUUGUCUGCACUUCUGUGAUGGAUGGCAUUGUAUGUCACCCACACCAAUGAAUUCCGAAUUUCUUUGAAGUGUAAAUACUUCUGUUAAUUUAGAAAUAAGAAGAUGUAGUAUGAUUGACAAUGAGACAACUCUCCAACAGAGACCGUGAAUAACAUAGGUCUUCUAUUAACUACCAUAAAUGGUAUCGUACCUGAAUGUCUUUAGUUCUAAAACCUUUUUCAUUAAUCUUUGAAAUUCAUUAAAUUAACAAUAUCCCCAUUUUGAAAUAAGUGUUAUUUUCAUAUUGUUGUUUAUGAUCGUAUAAUUACUAUUUCGACGUACACGAAAUGUUGUUCUAAAGAAACCUUCGUCAGAUUGGCUUGAGACAAAAUGUUUGGAUACAAAACACAUAAAAUGUGUAUAAGUAACCACAAAAAGCAAAAGGGUAACAGAAGUAAACAGAACAGUAAAGCAAAAAUUAUGAUUGCAUACUAGAAUCAUAAAAAAAAGUAUUAGCAAAUCACCCCCUUUCAAUUGUGAGAUAUGGGACAUUCGCGCUAAACAGAUUUAUAUUCUUAAAUUUAUAAUUAGCUCAAUCUUCUUAAUUCUAUAAUUUAAAAUUGUAUAUUUUGGCAGCUUCACUCUUAGUUAUGAGGCAAUUAGAACUGUUCAGAUGUUCUGUGUUUAGUACCGUUUUCAGCUGGUUGCCUGUCUCAAGAUUGAAUUAGUUUGCCUGUGGUAGUCUGUGUUUCCAGGCAAUCUUGACUGAGUACCGUCUUGGAAGAACAUUCUUAUUGGUUUCCUGGUUAAAUUUUUUACGAAACAUGAACUAUUUGUAAUUGCACGUUUAGUGGGUAAUUAGAAAUAUGUGUAUAGAAUGCAUGCUGUUAAUAUAUUACUAUUGUUAUAUAGCGGAGAAUGGUAAUGCCAAGUGUUCUUCUUGUUUCCAAACUUCAUCGUUUAUAAGGCUGAACUUUCUGCUCGUAUAAUGUAUAUUUCAAAACCCAGCCUCCCCCUUUGCAUGUUUUCACAUAAUACUACUACUUCGUGCAUAACUAUUCUUAUAUGAAAAGUUUAAACAGAUCCAUCCGUGUACGUCUUAUAAACCUGCACGUCCUGUAUACUAAUUAUUAUAUUUUUUAAAGAAAAAAUAUCAAAUCAAACUUCACUUUGGCUAAGUAUUAAAGCAUUCUAUCAUUUUGGUUUGUACUUUACCAACUUCAAAGACUAUCCUCAACGUUCAUUUCCGUUGAUAAAGAUACAAACAAUUAAAAGUGAAUUAAAUUGAAAACGAUUAAUUCCCUGAUCAUUGUAACUAUUCUUUGAAAUAAACAAUGUUAGGGGAACGUUUUGAUAAGAGGGAAAUGCGCGCUGAAAAUGAAUUAAUAAUAUUUUCGUUGUUGCAGAGAAAUAGGGUAACUUGGAGAAUAUUUAUCAAACCCUGCUCUCAGUAAAUGAUCAAGUUGAUCACUAUGAUUAAAUUUCGAUUUGGCAGCAGUCAAAACUAAUUUCUUUUCCUUAACCUUAAGUGAUGUUGGAUUUAAGAAGAUUUAAAAGUUUUCGUGUAAUUAAAUGGUUAUUUAUGUACAAUACGCCACAGGUAAAUUAAAUUUGUCCAAAAGAAUGAAAGACAAGCCAAAUUCGAUUUACACUACCUGCCCUUGGUUGUAAUCUUCAGGUCAUGUGACAUAUGGUCGUACAAAAAAAAUAUCGGUGUAUAUUUCAAUGUUGUAAUCAGCUGUGCGUUCUCUGUACUCUGGGAAACUAUUAUCGUAGUCUGUUUCAACUUCAACUCGUAUAUUUUUGUUUGUGUAUCAUUAUGUGAAUGAUAGAUAAAAUGGUGUGAAGGAAGUAUAAUUUGAAUGUUAAUUGUGAUUAUUAUUAGUGUGUGUAAUUUAUAGUAUAAUGAGUUUCAAAUUGAAUUCAGUACGAGCCGGCUCUAUGAGUCCGCCAAGAGUCGGCAGAAGCUCUGAUCUGGAUAAUAAUAAUCGUAAAAUGACCACCAUGCAUGAUUUACAACUUCUGAUUAAAGGAAAGGAUGAAAAAAUUAUGGAAUUACAAAAACAACUGUCCGAAAAGGACGAACACCUUCAAGAACUUCGCAGUCAGUUGGAUAAAUAUCAAAGUGUUUUUGGUCAAACUUUUAAGCAAGUAACAAAAGGACCAAGAAAGCAAAGGGCACAGGGAAUAUCAGCUGAACCUCAAAUGGUACAAAAUCUAGUCAACCAAGUUUUCAAGAAGCACUCAAAAUGUACAAGGUAGGUUACGAGACUUAAUAUUAAUAAGACACAGAUACGUCACCGCAAAUUGUGAUCCAUCUUCUUAGUAUUCAUUUAUUUAAAACAGAGAAUUGUCCCUUGUUCAUUGUUUAAAUUAUUAAAUUGUUUAUUAUUGUUUAAAUGAUUACUAACAACGUAACUCGUGCUGAUUAUCCAGUCACCCUCUUCAAAUUGUAUCGACAGGCUAUGUGUAAACAACGGAAAAUUACUCUUUCCUACCACCUCUUAACGUAUAAACACAUAGUUUGUUAAUUCGUACAUAAAUGAAGUGUAUAGAAAAAAAACUUUCGUGUAUUUACUCCUGUCAAGUAUAAGAUACAGAUUUAGCAGACACUUAAUUUGGCUAGUGGUUGUAAUGCCUUGAAUUAAGGUAAAGCAGGAUUCGUCUGAGAAAAGUGUAAACAUUAUAAAGGCAGAAUGAACUGGUAUGGAUACAAAACUUAGACGAUAUACAUGUUAAAUGUGUCAAAGCGAAGCCUGGGGGUAUACCAUUAAAACAUUACAAUGACGGUUUUGUUUUGGCAAUGUGUGUAUAAAAUACAACUUUCUGAUGUAAUUAAAAAGGACGACUUGUUGUUUUUUUUUUUACAUAAAUGUACUUUUAUUAUUUUUUUGCCAACAAUGGUUUCUUUUUAAACAAUCAGAAUGACAUUAUGACUGGCCUGUACCUUAUCAACCUUGUUAGUGUAGUAAAGAUAUAGUGUAUGACAGAAGUGUAUUUGUUGUCUUAAUCUUCCUAAUAAGACAACACAUACAUUUUAUCUGUCAAAAUUUAUUAAGAAAAUGGGAAAAUUAUUUGAUCAAUUUCAAACAUUACAGUUUUGUUUGACACUGUCAGCUGGUUUCAGUGGUCGAUUAAAUUGUAAUUUAUUUACAACAAAAUUGAUUUGAACACGAAUAUUAUGAAAUGAACAAAACCAAACCAGGAAUACAGUAUGUGUAUCAGUUCACAUUCAUCAAUCAUUCUUUUGUGAAUGAAUUAAAUAUUUUAUAAACAGCUUUGAAGAAUUUUGAAAUUUAUGAUGUGUUUUACGUCGUUUUUUUUUCGGUUGUAGAAUUUAAGAUUAAUUACAUGAUAUUACAAUAUAUGUUAUAUUUACAUUAUUUAUAAACGCAUUUCACGUAUUCAAAAUUAAUCAAUAUCGAUACAAAUUUACACAGUUGUAAAAUGUAUUGAAACAGAAAUAUAUGUAAAAAAUAACUACAACAAUCGUUUGGCUUGUUAGUUCGCUUUUAAAGAGUUUUAAAACUGCAGCAGUUUGUGGAUACACAAAAUUUGUAAUUAAGGAAUUUGCUCGACUCCGCAAAGAAUAUACCCUAAAACAAUCAUAUGCAGACUGCUGUUCCUUUGAUUGACAGGUAAUGGUCAGUUAUACGACGAAUGUAACAGGUAACAAGUCACCAGAUGUCCAAAAAAUACAUGCAUCAUGCAGUUAUUUAUUGGCUAGGUCGGCGUUUUUUUUUUUAUAUUUUAUUUUUUGCGCUAAUAUUAUAGUUCUAACGAGUGCCGACCCUAGACCCAAUCCCCAAAGGCUACAUUGGUUUAGGAUUCUUCCAACUGAAAGAAAACGAUACUUUAUCAUCAUUCAGGCUUGGAUCUGAAAUAUUGGUCAAUUAUAAUUUAUUGUUUUUAUGGGAGAAAGUAGAAAGGAUUUUAUAAAUACAUGAAUAAUAUGUCAUAUAGUGAAAAGAUCUGGUCCAGUUUUAGUACAUAUAUGCAUCAUACACUUAUGUUAAAGUUUUAAGAUACUGCGAUAAGUAUUAGUUAAUAACGUUCCAACUUAGCCUUUUCAGUGUCGAAAAGGGAUACAAGAAUAACAAAAAGUAGUUUUUGCUUAUGUGUAUAACUAGAUAACGACGACACCAAAUGCCCUUUCUUCAAAUUACUUUGCUUUUUCGUCUUACAAGACGUCCACUACUGUUUCAAAAUGACUUUAUUAAUAAGCUUUUAUGAUCUUUUAAAUCCAUUUGAGGCAUUUAACUUGUGUUUAUUUUCCUUUAGUACCUUUUAUCCUCAAUUUUUCUUCUGACAUAACAUAAUUGUAACACUAGGUGAUUUAAGGUCAAAAGAUAAAAUACUCAUCAAGGAUGUAAUACUAUGUUAAUUUCUGUUUGACAAGAUUUAUAUCAGUCGCCCCCUGGUCACAUUUUUAUUAUCACGUGACCUUUGUAAUUUCUUCCAAAAAGUUCCAGAAAGUGACAUUCGGAUACAUUGUUCAUUGGCAAGUGGUUAAGCAUCUACUUAAAGAUCGCGUUAAUUUUCCUGAAGUCUCUACUUAAGAGAAAGUGUAGCUUUUCGAGAAAGCAUGUAUACCGUGGGAACCUCAGUUGAAUUCAGGUCGAGCCGUUUCCGUCCUUAUCCGAAUAAGGUCAAGGUAUGCUUAAAUUUGUAUACAUAUACUAGGUCGCAAACUUGACCACAAGUCAUAAAUACGAGAUAUUCUAGCAACUGUGCCAUGACGAGAGUAUUAAAGACACCAUUAAUGUACUGAGACAAUUUCUUUUACAGUUGGUCACAGUUUGCCUUUGUUCCCACAGGAGAGAGGGAGAGAUUUAUAAGCUAG
This 22700-nucleotide long non-coding RNA is filed under the name Mytilus galloprovincialis (Mediterranean mussel). The record is from RNAcentral. Lineage: Eukaryota; Metazoa; Mollusca; Bivalvia; Mytilida; Mytilidae.